Molecule: long non-coding RNA, 569 nt
Organism: Tarenaya hassleriana
Lineage: Eukaryota; Viridiplantae; Streptophyta; Magnoliopsida; Brassicales; Cleomaceae
Exons: 2
Source: RefSeq, a predicted model, not a curated record
GUGAGCGAGGAACUCUCUAGAGCAAACCCUAAAAUCCCCGUCAAACCCUAAAUUCCCUGCAUAUAAAUGCAGCUUCGAGUAUAAUCGGCGGAUCCUAUCGCUGAUCUCUCUCCGGCGUCGAACCACCGGGGCUGCCAGCGAAAAAUCGACGAUAUGCGGCAAAUCCAGAAUCUGCUUACGGAUUCAGGUCCCGGUUAGUCGUAGAUCCGGGGACUGUUUUCAUCAGUUCGGCGUCUCCUUGUUGUCAAGGGACAGGGUGUAAGUAAGGAAUGGAUUACUGCACGGCGAACCCAUGUCUUGUUGAAUUUAGAGGUUCGGGUGAAUGGUGGGAUGAGAAGUUGUUCAUGUUGUACUUAUAUUUUAAUACCAUGCAGCAAAGUGUCUACUAUUUGCGUAGAUAUUUGCUUUUUAUUAAAAAAAAGCAUGUCUUGCGGUUCAUAUUUAAUAAUUUAGUUGUCCAAAAUGAGGUUGUAACAUUAUCCUUUAUUAUUUUGCAAUCAAUUGUGAUUAGGGGUGGAUGUUUCGAUUCAAUUCUUUGGAAUCGAACCGGAAAAUACGAUAUUUUUUUU